This is a non-coding RNA of Phoenix dactylifera (date palm), 2269 nucleotides long. The record is from RefSeq and is a predicted model, not a curated record. NCBI's taxonomy places the organism in Eukaryota, Viridiplantae, Streptophyta, Magnoliopsida, Arecales, Arecaceae.
AGCUGCGUAUAACGUUUCCCGUAUCUCUUAGAUCUAUUGCGGUUCGAACGAGGAACAGGGGCUCCUUCUCUCCCUCGUCCACUUUCCUCCAAUCCAUGGCGACCGCCGCUCUUCCUAAAUCCGGAGGCCUACGAGGACUCGCCUCGUAGGGCUCCAGUCUCUGAAGAGGAGGAGAAAAUUAGGGGGCUUUAUCUCCGAUCCAAAGGAUUCCCAAGUGGAAAAUCCGGUGGAGGGAAUGAAGACCGCGGCUGCGAGGAUCAGAGCUUCCAUUUCUAUGUCAUAUCGAGCAAAGGUGCAGGCUUAAGCAAGUUGGAGAGGCAAACUGGGUGAUCUUAUUAGUGAGAGAAGCAUAUGCAGGUCAUAUCCUAAAUGUGCGCAUGUCCUCUGCAAGCCUCCACCUUGGUGAUCUCUUCUGCAUGUUAACCAGAUCACAUUACAUGUCUGAUGUUUGUAUUCAGUGUCACCAUAACUCCCAAUACAUGAUUUUGUGGUGGUAAAUGUGCAUUUGUUGUCUCACCAGGUAACUCUCCACUGGUACAUUAGUCAGCCAGAAACUCCCAUCUCCUCUUAUAGCCAGGAUAACUUUCAAGUUUUUGUUUGCACUCGAAAGUUGUCUGGCGUACUAUCACUUUAAAAAUAGGUAGUCGAAUCAUUUGAACUUCAAGGCAGGCAUAUAGUCUGCCUAUAGUAUUUAAUAGAUAUGAUGCUAGACGUACAACACAAUGUCCAGCAGACUGUUCGGGUAUGAGUCUCUUAAAAACAAACUAGUUACUUCCUCCAGGAAGUUAUUUUAAUAUUUUGGGUUCGUUAUGUCUGAUUAUACAAAAUCAUUCAGCAAAUUUGUUUGGUGCAGCCAAGUUUUAACUGGUAGCACUACCACCCUGGUGAUCUGUUGUUUCCUCAUGAUGAGAGUUAAUUGAGGCUAUUAAAUCAAUGACUCAUAUAGUGGAAUUGCUCAUCAGCAGUAUCAGUGUUCGGUCAUAUAUUCUUCAUGCUUUGUUGUGCACCUUGUUUUUGGAAGUUCAAAAAUUCCUUUGUUUUGCAAUCAUAAAUGGUUGAAGUUGUUACCUGCCAUUGUUUGUAAUAUGUCAAGUGUCCUCCAUUACUUAGACAUGAGGUUUGGCCUUUUCUUUCGCUCAAAUUCGCAGCAUCUCAGUGUAAGACAGAGAACCUGCUCAGCCUGCAGAAAUAGCCAAUGCCCGGAGGACUCAUCGAAGGUUUGGUGCACCACCCUCCUAUCAUAUGCCUCCUUCACCUGCUCCACAAUAUUCAACUCUGGCAGUCCUGCCAACAGCUGAAGGACUAUGAUCCAAAAAGAAUAGACAUCAGACUCGGGAAUCAGCUGCUCAGUGUUGAGGAAAACAGGGUCCAUGUAUCCAAAUUUUCUCCUUGGGUUUGUCUCAUGGCAGAUUGUUGCUUCCUGUGAUAGGUCCUGAUGUAUCAGCUGAGCAGUACCAAAAUCUCGAAGCUGGAUGAUGUCAUUAGCAUCGAAGAGUAUAUUUCCAAAUUUUAUAUCUACAUGAAUUAUGGCAUCAAGCUUGCUGGAGUGAAGGCAGAUGAGGGCAGAACGCUGCUCAUUGAUGACACAGAAGCAGUCCUGCCAUGAGAGUCCACAGGCAAGCCUUUCGCUGAGGUUACUAUUCUAAAUUCAGAAUCAAUUCAAACGCGACUCAAUCCCGAAUCAAUUCUGAAUAAUAGUGAAUUGGGUUGUUUGUUUGGUUUGGUUCAGCCUGCCUGUUAUGUUUGGUUUCCACCUGCUAUUGAAGAAUUGACUCAUUUCAAUUAUGAGCUAACUUUGGAUCAUAAGAGACCCAAUCCAGAGCCUGAACUGAAGUGCAUGCUCCCAUGAAUGUCCUUCCAAUCUGGAAGAAUAUGGUAGCCUUGCUGCCUCACUUCUGGAACCGAUUCAAAUAUAAACUAGGCAAUGGGAAGAUGCUUGGUUGUCUGACUGUUCUUUGGACUCCCUAUUUCUAAACUUUUAUUCAGCUGGUAAGAAAAGAUGGACCUCAGUGGAAUCGGAUUGGAACAGAAGGUUUGAAUAGAGAAUUCACUCUAGUUUUGUUAGCAGUGAGUCUGAUGCAAAUAAUUGCGGCCGGGAUGAGGGCCAAGGAAACAUGGUGGACCUGGAGGCCACUAAUGAGUUCAAUUUAGAGAUGCUACUGCACUAGGACCUAUGAUCAUUCUAAGAUGUAUAAAUAUGAAUUACCUCAAAAAAAAGAUAUGUGAAUAUGAAAUAAAGUUUUUUAAUCUGGAUCCCUUUUGUUAGAGA